GAUGAACGCUGGCGGCGUGCUUAACACAUGCAAGUCGAACGAAGCACUUUGAUCGAUUUCUUCGGAUUGAAAUUUUAGUGACUGAGUGGCGGACGGGUGAGUAACGCGUGGGUAACCUGCCUCACACAGGGGGAUAACAGUUGGAAACGGCUGCUAAUACCGCAUAAGCGCACAGUACCGCAUGGUACGGUGUGAAAAACUCCGGUGGUGUGAGAUGGACCCGCGUCUGAUUAGCUAGUUGGCAGGGCAACGGCCUACCAAGGCGACGAUCAGUAGCCGACCUGAGAGGGUGACCGGCCACAUUGGGACUGAGACACGGCCCAAACUCCUACGGGAGGCAGCAGUGGGGAAUAUUGCACAAUGGGGGAAACCCUGAUGCAGCGACGCCGCGUGAGCGAAGAAGUAUUUCGGUAUGUAAAGCUCUAUCAGCAGGGAAGAAGAAAUGACGGUACCUGACUAAGAAGCACCGUCUAAAUACGUGCCAGCCGCCGCAGUAA
RNAcentral lists this ribosomal RNA (497 nucleotides) under uncultured bacterium. RNAcentral's name for it is "partial 16S ribosomal RNA". It matches the Rfam family "Bacterial small subunit ribosomal RNA", at positions 28 to 523 of the family's 1533-position model. The record is from RNAcentral.